AGUGAACGCUGGCGGUAGGCCUAACACAUGCAAGUCGAACGGCAGCACAGAGGAGCUUGCUCCUUGGGUGGCGAGUGGCGGACGGGUGAGGAAUACAUCGGAAUCUACUCUGUCGUGGGGGAUAACGUAGGGAAACUUACGCUAAUACCGCAUACGACCUACGGGUGAAAGCAGGGGACCUUCGGGCCUUGCGCGAUUGAAUGAGCCGAUGUCGGAUUAGCUAGUUGGCGGGGUAAAGGCCCACCAAGGCGACGAUCCGAAGCUGGUCUGAGAGGAGGAUCAGCCACACUGGAACGGAGACACGGUCCAGACUCCUACGGGAGGCAGCAGUGGGGAAUAUUGGACAAUGGGCGCAAGCCUGGUCCAGCCAUACCGCGUGGGAGAAGAAGGCCUUCGGGUUGUAAAGCCCUUUUGUUGGGAAAGAAAUCCAGCUGGCUAAUACCCGGUUGGGAUGACGGUACCCAAAGAAUAAGCACCGGCUAACUUCGUGCCAGCCGCCGCAGUAA
Molecule: ribosomal RNA, 506 nt
Filed under: uncultured bacterium
Lineage: Bacteria
Description: partial 16S ribosomal RNA
Rfam family: Bacterial small subunit ribosomal RNA
Source: RNAcentral